AUACACACACAUAGACAAACAGGGAGGGGUGGAAGGACUGAAGACAGUGGGCUUACUUGAGACUGUUAUCCUUUCAUAAGGUCCCAGCAUAGAAAACAAGGUGCAGAAUUAAAAAUAAACAUUUUUGGGGACUAAUAUGACAUUAACGAGUUUAUAUAGUCUUAUAGGUGCAGUACUGCUCGCACAACUGUCGGGUUUGUUACAGAGCUUCUUUAUUGUUCACAGUGUUCCCUCCAAGUCCUUGUAGAAAGUGAGCAGAAGUAAACCUGGCCACAGUUGCAUCCAAAACAGCAUCAAGUACAUUUUGCCAUAUAACACCUAAAUAACUGCAGCCAGAUAAACUCUGCCAUAUAAAGCCUAAAUAACUGCAGCCAGAUAAACUGUCAUAUAACGCCUAAAUAACUGCAGCCAGAUAAACUGUCAUAUAACACCUAAAUAACUGCAGCCAGAUAAACUCUGCCAUAUAAAGCCUAAAUAACUGCAGCCAGAUAAACUGUCAUAUAACACCUAAAAAACUGCAGCCAGAUAAACUGUGCCAUAUAACACCUAAAUAACUGCAGCCAGAUAAACUGUGUCAUAUAACACCUAAAUAA
This is a long non-coding RNA of Bufo bufo (common toad), 593 nucleotides long. RefSeq lists it as uncharacterized. The transcript is spliced from 3 exons. Lineage: Eukaryota; Metazoa; Chordata; Amphibia; Anura; Bufonidae. The record is from RefSeq and is a predicted model, not a curated record.